Molecule: long non-coding RNA, 2163 nt
Filed under: Macaca mulatta (Rhesus monkey)
Lineage: Eukaryota; Metazoa; Chordata; Mammalia; Primates; Cercopithecidae
Description: lncRNA (ENSMMUG00000064928.1)
Source: RNAcentral
AUGUUGAAGGCAUAUGAGAUGUCAGAUAAUGAAUGUGUUGUGAUGGGUCAUUUUUGUUCUUUAUUCCAGAAUCUAUCCUCCCAACUGAUACUGACACCUCAAUUGUACUUAAGGGGCACCACCCCUCCGCCAUUGGAUGAAAUGUUACUUUGUCUGUUUACAUGGACAAAUGAAAAAAUAAUGAGAAACUAAUGUUGUGAGAGAAAUAGUAAGUUUGAAGACAUUUUGUCUGAUUUCAUACCCUAUUAGAAGAAUAUCUUGAUUUUAAAACUGCUGCUCAUUUUUGUGUUGCUGGCUCAUUAUUCAAGUGGAUAUGUAGUUAGAUCUAAGGCCAUUCUGUUACUGAUGAGCUCUGAAAUGAAGGCUUAUGUUUUUGUCCUAAAACAGAAUGCAUUUUAAAUUAGAAAGUUAUGUCAAGAAUCAGAACUGCUUAAACCAUGAGUGGCUUCUCAACUUGGGUGAAAUUAGUAGCAGGUUUUUACUCAUCAAGAAGAUAAAGUCAGCAAUGGUUUUAGACAUUAUGAUUUCUGAGAUUUUUAUGAUACUUUUUUCAUAAGACUAUGUCCCGUUCAGAUGCCCAAAUACAAUUUUAACUGAAUGCAUAUCUAUAUAUGCAUAUACAUGUUUUAAUUUAAGCACUAUUUAAAUUGUUUUAUAUACCAUAGUACUCUUGCUUGAUUUGAAAAAUACAGGUUCGGCCGGGCACGGUGGCUCAAGCCUGUAAUCCCAGCACUUUGGGAGGCCGAGACGGGCGGAUCACGAGGUCAGGAGAUCAAGACCAUCCUGGCUAACACAAUGAAACCCCGUCUCUACUAAAAAUACAAAAAAAAAAUUAGCUGGGCGAGGUGGCGGCGCCUGUAGUCCCAGCUACUCGGGAGGCUGAGGCAGGAGAAUGGCGUGAACCCGGGAGGCAGAGCUUGCAGUGAGCCGAGAUCGCGCCACUGCACUCCAGCCUGGGCGAUAGAGCGAGACUCCGUCUCAAAAAAAAAAAAAAAAAAAAAAAAAAAAAAAGAAAAAUACAGGUUCACACACUAAAAGCCCUGACCUCACCAUUAUGCAAUAUAUACACGUAACAAAACUGCACUUGUGCCCCUUAAAUUUAUACAAAUAAAAUACCCAAGUUCAACAAUUGAUAACAAAUAUUGUUAUUUUUCAAUUAAACUUGAAAAAAAAAAGAUGGGCUAGGCACGAUGGCUCACACCUGUAAUCCCAGCACUUUGGGAGGCCAAGGUGGUUGGAUCAUAAGGUCAGGUGUUUGAGACCAGCCUGGCCAACAUAGUGAAACCUCAUCUCUAUUAAAAAUACAAAAAAAAAAAAAAAAAAAAAAAGAAGAAACGUUAGCCGGACUUGGUGGUGGGCCCCUGUAAUCCCAGCUACUGAAAAAACAAACAAAACAAAACAAAAAACAAAAUCUAAUGAUGUGAGCAAUUGUUUAAAAGCAAAAUAUCUUAAGACUUUUUUUUUUUGAGACAGAGUCUUGCUCUGUCACCCAGGCUGGAGUGCAGUGGUGCAAUCUCGACUCACUGCAACCUCUGCUUCCCAGGUUCAAGUGAUUCUCCUGCCUCAGCCCCUGGCUAAUUUCUGUAUUUUUUGUAGAGACAGGGUUUCACCCUAUUUGCCAGGCUGGUCUCGAACUCCUGACCUCAGGUGAUCCUUCUACCUCAGCCUCCCAAAGUGCUGGGAUUAUAGGUGUGAGCCACUGCACCUGGCUAUCAUAAGACAAUGAAAAAAACAGCAUUUCCUACACCAUGCUUUCCAACUUCAUGUCUCAUUCUGGAUAUAAUAGCCACCUUUAACUCUUAAUUGCUUAUUCUGGUAUUUACCUCUAUUUUUCUAAAUAAUAUUUUUAUACAAUCAUUUCUUGAGUUUUUAGUUUCAGAUUUUAUCUCUUGACUUUCUACUAUGAAAUAUAAUCUGUCAGCUUUUUUAUACAUUGCUCCUUUCCCAUAUCUUUUAAAGUAUGUGAUAAUAUUUGGUUAAAUCAAUAUUCAAUGUUUGUAUUAUUAAUAUUAUGACUAUGUAUGAAUUAUUCACAGCCAAGCCACAUAUUGUGCUGUAAUUAAAUUUCCUUUCUACUAGAACUUCUGUUUUUCCCAGGCAUUAAUGAUUAUGCUGUUCCCUUUUGUCUGCUUAGUUUUCUAUUUGAUUAUCACUAAUUCAUCA